GAUGAAGAACGUAGCGAAAUGCGAUACUUGGUGUGAAUUGCAGAAUCCCGUGAACCAUCGAGUCUUUGAACGCAAGUUGCGCCCGAAGCCAUCAGGUUGAGGGCACGUCUGCCUGGGCGUCACAUAUCGUUGCCCAAUGCCUAUUGCAGUGCAAUAGGAAUUUCUAGGGCGAAUGAUGGCUUCCCGUGAUCGUUGUUGCCUCGCGGUUGGUUGAAAAUCGAGUCCUUGGUAGGGUGUGCCAUGGUAGAUGGUGGUCUAGUUAGAACGAUACCGAUCAUGUGCAUGCUCCCCAAAAUAUGGCCUCUAUGACCCACACGCGUCUUUUGACGCUCAUGACGAGACCUCAGGUCAGGCGGGGCUACCCGCUGAAUUUAAGCAUAUCAAUAAGCGGAGGA
Molecule: unclassified non-coding RNA, 395 nt
Filed under: soil metagenome
Description: partial contains 5.8S ribosomal RNA, internal transcribed spacer 2, and large subunit ribosomal RNA
Rfam family: 5.8S ribosomal RNA (bases 1-122)
Source: RNAcentral